Mus musculus (house mouse) is the source of this 20646-nucleotide long non-coding RNA. RefSeq annotates it as predicted gene 43380. Lineage: Eukaryota; Metazoa; Chordata; Mammalia; Rodentia; Muridae. The record is from RefSeq and is a predicted model, not a curated record. The transcript is spliced from 3 exons.
CCAUCUGCUGCCCAAUCUACUGAGAGGAACAGAAACCAGUCAGUAUGUGUGAGAGGAGCUCAGGCUUCAGUGAUGGAGACAGGCUGGAGUUCAACGCCUUGGUCUGCUAUCUUCUGGGCAGUGCAAGGACCAGUGAGGGUACAGCUCUUGACUCAGCAGACGUCCUAAACACAGACUUCAUGGAGUGGCCUGGCUCUGCCUCUUUACCUCUCUGACAAUUCAGUACCAACAAGCCUGAUGGCUGCUAGCUUAUUCUUUUAAGACCUGCUUCCUGAAAAUGACUAGAGAUAGUUCAUCCAGGUAUAAACACUGGUCACCAAGUUCUCGAUACUCAGGGUGAGCAGCUGUGUCUUCAUCAGGGGACUUCACACUGCAGUCUGGGAAGCCCUGCCUCAUUUGAUGAGGUCUUGCUGAUCCUUUGAUACCUAUUCUGAUCAGUUGCUGCUGUCACCCUGCCAACCUGGGCUCCUGGGUCUUCUGCUUUCCUAGUACAGCGACUCUGCUCAGUGUGAUGAGCUGCAGAGGCCACUCUUCAUACAGAUGAGGACAGAUCCAGCCCACCAGGAAAGAAAGUGAUAACUGGACCAGAUGACUUAAAGGCAGAAAGAAACUUCUAGAAGGGCACAACAAGAGUACUAAAGAACUGCAAAUAGGUCUGCAGAUCAAACAACACAGCUAUAUAGCCAGAGCUACGUCACCAAUGACUUCCCCCAACAAUUCAAUGAGGAGAGCAAAAUGGGAAUUUACCGGUGCCACAGGAAGAUAGUAUCUUUUUGUUUGUUUUUUAAAAGACAGAGUCUCACUAUGUAGCUCCUGCAACUAUCUAUGUAGACCAGGCUGGCCUCCAACUCAGAGAUUCAUCUGCUUCCACCUCCUGAGUGCUGGGAUUAAAGAAAUGAAGCACUAUACCUAGCUGGAAGCCAGGAUCUUAAAGAUACCGAGUAGAGCAGGAAGACUGGGAACAACGAGGAGUAGUGUCAGCCAUCUCUUAAGGAACUGGUUAAGUCACCAAGCCAUCAAUCUUCAUUCCUCUUCAGGAGUUGCUGCAACCCUUGCCUUUGGUCAGGGAAGAACUAAGUGUAGCUGAAAUUCGAGGUGCCAGGGAAGGUCAUUCAAACACAGGCAACAGGACCUCAGCCAGUCCUUACCAAGGGUUCUGAACAUUUAGUGACAUGACUUGGGGCAAAUAAGCUCCAGAAUAGUGUGGUAUGGAACAAAAAGUAUGUGGUCAGCUCAAGAGGUGGAUAGGUGAUGGUGGACACUGACAUAAAUGCAAUAUAAUUCAUUCAUAUAUUGAUAAUAAGUUACUGAGGAUGCUGGUGCACCACGGGAAACUUGGCAAGGGGCUCCAGCAACAGGAAAGCUGAUCAGGGAGUCCUUGAGAGUAGUCUUCCUGCUGCCUGUUCUGGAGUCUAAGUGUUCAUGAGAUAAGUGUUUGAUAAGGACUGUAUUCUGGAGCUAUGGCAAUGGACCACAAAGACCCUGGAAUCAAGCAAGCAAGAUGGAACAUUCUUACUAUGGAAUCUGCUGAGGGAAUGUACUGUUUCAGGAAGUGGGAGGGGGAGAAAGGAGGAGGCACAGGUGUACAUACACUACUGACAGAAGGCCUUUAGUAGCCUGCUAGCAUUUUCCAUAUAACUGUUCUCAUGGGAGUAAGGACAGUUUUAGAACUGCCCAUGCUAGGACUGACUCCAGUAGGCAGGAUAGCAUGCUUGGAUGAAAAAGCCAGCCCCACUCUAGCAACUUGGGAACCUUCAGAUCAGUCUUUCUGUAGAGCAGCCAGUCAGGCCGGUUAGCAAGGUGGUUUCACAGUCCCCACAAGAAAUGGGGACCUUGUGCAGGUCUCCAAAUUUUCUUAUCUUCAGUUUUUAAAUCAAACUGCUAUCAGAUGAUAAUAAGUAAGUAAGUAAGUAAGUAAGUAAGUAAGUAAGUAAGACUGGUCCUGUCAUUUCUGUGGUCAAGACCCUUGAUGUUGGUUACAGGAAGCUGUACAUUCUUCAUUAGGGCAUACCACCCAUUCCCACAAUGACUGAAGUUUCCAUCCCCAGAAUUGUUCUCUACCAUGUCCUUUUGUUCUGAAGGCUCUUAACAGUCUCUACCCUGCUCUCAAGGGCCUUUAAGUUUCACAGGGUCACUGCUGUGGGGGUUCUUGUAUGUACCAGAGUUAGGGUUACUUCAUCUGGAGCCUCUGCAAAGAACACGGUCUAUGUCUGUUCAGAUGGGGCAGAGCUAGUGUACACCUCUCUCUGGAGUUUGAGGCCUAUUCUAUAGAGUUCAGUGGAACCCCUAACACAGUUUGAAACUAAAGUUUCUGAAAUGCUGGCUUCUCCACAAAACUGUUGUCUUCUCUGGAUCACCAAAAGCUACAACGCGGCUUUCAGGUGAACUGCCCUAAUGCUUCUUUCUUCUUCAGCCCUGACACCACAUCUACCAGCCGGCUCCUCCUCUCCCUUCCCUACAUUCAUCUCAGAUCCCCUAUUUGUGCCCAGGUCAGAAGCCAGCAUCACUUUAGACCUGGUUGCCAUGGCAACCCUGUACUGUAAUCUUCCCCAAAGGAAUCUCUGUGAUCCUAGUCAGGUCCUAGCCUUUCUUGACACUAUCAACCUUAGAUUUUUGAAGAAAUAUUCUAACAGUUUGAAAAACAGACUGAAGAUACACAAGAACAUGUAACACCACCAUCAGGAAAAACAAAAUCUUAGUACAAUUAGCACAAAAAUUAAAUAGGAAAAUGUUGUAUGUGUCUGGUUAAUAAUACAUGUAGUUGCAUACAUAAAACACUUAACCACUGUAACUUUCUGAAUGAAUGUGUGCAAAGAAAUUCUCUAAUAUUACUUUAAGUGUGCAUUUAAUCUAGAACCUUGGUAUUCCCAUCAAAUGGUCUAGAAUAAUACAACAGAAUAGCAGUAGAAAAGACCUGAGCUUGUCAUGAGGACAAAGUUGAUAGUCAACAUAUGUUUUUUUAUUGCUAAGCAGUUCCUAACCUAUUAGCUAUCACUCAGAGAAGAAACAAACAAGAGACUGCAUUCUAUCUCCUGCAGGGGACUGAGAUCUGCACUGCUUGUAUUUACAGACAGUGCCAUUCUGUCACAGUUAGGUCAGAUGAGAAGGCAGACCAGGCUGAUGUGAGGAUAAGUAGACUGAGACAUGAGCAGAACACAGAGGCAACACUGAAGCUGGUCCUGGGCUCUGGCACAGCACAUGCGCCUGCAGCUGGGUUUUGUGGAAGACUUUUUUGUGAAAGAAAGAGGACUACUAGGGACUAAGAGGUACCAACUGUGCUUUUCAAGGCCCUGGGCAGUAUAACUUCCCAGAGUUUCUAGACCAAGGCUGGCUGAUGGAUGGGCAGCAGAUGAACUCACCUGCCCAUGUAGUCUCCAGUCCAUAGCUAGUGCUUUUCUCCCCCUCUGGAAAGGGAAAGGCACUGUGCAGCUAUCUUAGCAGCAGCAACAGCACUUGCUUCAAUGGGCAUCCAAGGUUGUUGAAGGCACCUCAUGAAUGGAAAGUAAAACAACUAAAACUUCUGUGGCUCCUGCCCUCUAGUAAACUGAAUGAUAAAUAUCAUUAUUCCUGAGGUAGACACAGGAGGACACAGUAAAACAACCACUUUAUUAGACCUUUGUUGUUAUUGAGGCAGGGUCUUACUGUGAAGUUCUGACAGCCCAAGAACUCUUAGACCUUGCUGGCCUCAAAUUCAAAAAGAUUCUCUCCAGAGGGCUGGGAUUAAAAAUUCCUGAUGUGGGUUUUCUGAAUACACAUGCUCAAACACAUUCUCUAAGUCAGGUAACUUAUUUAGUUCUCCAAGAGGAAAAAGGCUUGGGUACACAGGCAAGUUUGUGAAGGGUUGAGGAUUCUUUACCACACAGGCCUUAGGGCAACUAGAUAGGGCGUGGGGUUGAACAGGGCAAAUGUUCAGCAACUAUGGCCUGUUUUUCCCAAGCACAGGUCUCCAAGUGACAAGUGACCUGAGGUCUCUCAUGGGUUGUGAGUCACAACUCUGGACAGCACUGGCUCUCAAGUCACAGUGGACUUGGCAGGAGCCAAAUCAGGCAAGAGCAGUGGACCUUCAGCUGCUUUGUUUCCUGUGGUCACAACCACCACACACACAUGGAUAGUUAAAGACAGAAAUGAGCUGGGAAAAAAUUUGCCCCUUCUCUAUGCCCUCAGGACUCUGACUACAUGGACUAAAGAGAGUCUUUGGAAGAGCAGGGGGUUGGCCUUAACUGUCAAGUUGACAGAGUCUAGAACUAUCUGGGAGAUGGGCCUCUGGACAUGACUGUGGGGGAUUAUCUUGAGAUAUUGAGACCCAUCUAUUGUGGGUGGCACUAGGCUGGAGACCUAGAAAAAGAGCUGACCAGCAGCAAGCGUUCAUCAUGCUCAGCUUUCUAAACACAAAGCGAACACAUCCUUCAAGCUCUAGCCACCCUGCCUCACCCACCAUGAUAACUGACCCUUGAACUGCAAGCAGACAAACCCUUUUUUGCAUUGGGAUUAUAUUUUAUCACAGCAACAGGGAAAGAAGACACAGGGCUAGAGAAACUGCUCUGCUGCCCACUUCCCCAGGGCCAGGGCUUGCACACUAAGCACUGAAGCUGUAGCAAACAGCACUGAGAGAGGAACCCCAUGAAGGCAGACAGAGACAAAGAGAUGCUAAAAGCUGGAGGGGAGGGGCACUGAGGGGAAGCAAGAAGCCCAAAGCUGAGCCUGUCACAAGUCAUGCUUCCUCCCCUUUCCUCUUACACUCCAUCCAAAUGGCAAGUCACCAAGGCUGCAAAUGCCUAUCUCAGGAGUAAUUAAAUCAAAUGAAUCUCAGGAGAAGAGCUUUAAAUAUUCAAAGCCCCAUUAAUCCUCAUGCCUUGUAAUUAAAUAUGCAUGCUAAGAAGACCUGGACAAAAGCAAAAACACUUUCAAAAUGUGCAUUUUAAAAAUCUGUAGCAUUAGCAUGUAUUUCUGUCCUGACCUUGUGGAAACUAUGUAAAAAAUUCCAUGAAGCAUACACUGUAGAAAUGGAGAGAAGAAUGCAGAUACAAUCUUGGCCCAUACUGAGCUUUAAAAAUGUGCCUGAAUAAACAGUUUUCUCCUCUCUCCCUCUCUCUCUCUCUCUGUAAGCCUAAUUCCAGGGCCUAACUUGAGUAAGGCAAGUGACUGACUGCUGAGUCACACCUCAGCCUGCAAAGACUUACUUUUAAGGACUUAGAGAUUUGAACUUGCAAAUAAUGACCCCUUUUCCUUCUUGCAAUGUGACCUGGACCCAGCACCUUGGAAACUUCUUGUUUCUGCAGUUGAGCUCCUCUCACUUGAGUCCUGUUAAGCUCAGUGACUUCUCAGCCCUCGGGGCCUACCUUCUAUGUGACAGUCAGCAUGAGAGAAGACUGCUCCAACACAGCAUCCUGGAGGAGAGCAGUAAGAUGGCCAGCCUUCCCUUGCAGGAAUAGUGUGUGCCUGAAAACCCCCAGGGAGACUUGGAUUGCCACAAGCUCUCUGGUCUCUUUCCAGAGCCCAGAGCCCUGAGGAGGGAUAGAUGGAAUAGGAAGGAAUGGCACUCCUGUUUCUCUGGUGAGGAAGUCAGGGUGAAUGUUCUGUUGAUGACCACAUAGUUCAGUUUUUGAAUGUCUUUCCAAUGAGCAGGAGUUGCUGCUGGGAACUACCAGAGCCAUGGGCAGGCAGAGUCACCUACUGAGUGUUCCAGUGACAAUUCUACUUCACUGCUCUGUUCUUUUUUUUUUUUUUUUAAUUGGGUAUUUAUUUCGUUUACAUUUCCAAUGCUAUCCCAAAAGUCCCUCACACGCUCCCCCACCUACUCCUCUACCCACCCACUCCCACUUCUUGGCCCUGGCGUUCCCCUGUACUGAGGCAUAUAAAGUUUGCAAUGACCAAUGGGCCUCUCUUUCCACUGAUGGCCGACUAGGCCAUCUUCUGAUUGAUAUGCAGCUAGAGUCACGAGCUCUGAAGGGGUAUUGGUUAGUUCAUAUUGUUGUUCCACCUAUAGGAUUGCAGAUCCCUUCAGCUCCUUGGGUACUUUCUCUAGCUCCUCCAUUGGGGGCCCUGUUAUAAAUCCAAUAGCUGACUGUGAGCAUCCACUUCUGUGUUUGCCAGGCCCCGGCAUAGUCUCACAAGAGACAGCCUUCACUGCUCUGUUAGAAUCAUUCACUUAUUUAGAAUACAAGAGAAAGGUUUUUGGAAACUUGCCAGAGCAGCCAUCAGACGCAGUGCUAUUUGCAGCAACGGACUGUUUCCUACAGAAGGUCUUAAAGAUGAAAGCACAGGCCCUGACCAGCCCAACUGGAUUCAUUGUCAUGGUCAAUUGAUUGUGCCUGUCAGGAACGCCAGGUUCUAAAUUAAAAGCUAAAAAUUAAGGAAUAUGUGAAAUUUCUAGACAUUAAAGAGUUCACAGGCAGCUAUCUCUGAAGCAAAGACAGUCUUGAAGGACCCUUUUCCUAGCACCACGGAGUUAAGUGACACUGAAGUAUUUCUAGUAUAACCCCACUGCUCUUUCCAAGAUUCUGAACUAAGCAGAUACAGAGAAAAUGAUCCCAGAUGUGAGGUGUCCCAGACCCAGGAAAAUCAAACACACCGCCUAUCCACCCACCCAGAAAGUAGCUCAUCAAGAAAAGGGAUAAAAGACUCUAUUUGCAUUUUCAAGGAUGUGAAAGUGAAAGUACUGAAAGAAUUAGGAACCCCUUUCCCCAACCAGGCUUUCUCUGUGCAGCUCAGCUGUCCUAAACCUCGCUGGGAACGCUAAGAUUAUAAGCAUGUGUCAUAAUACCCAGCUUAUUCAGUGCUGUAAACCAGAAACCCAGGAUUCCAUCCAUGCUAGGCAAGUACUGAGCUGCAUCUAACUGGAAGCCAUUUUGCUAAGGGUUUGAGGAUUUGCGCCGAUCAUGAAGAAUGGCUUAGAAUUCUGUACCAACACAGCAGUAACGCCUGUCACAGUCAAUACACCUUCCUGUUUCCUAGAGGAAAGGAGCCAACCUGAAGAUGAGAGCAUGGCUUAGCACAGCACACUCCCACUGACAUCACAGACACUAUAGCUGGCUGGUGGGGACAACAGGCCUUUUGUUUUUAGAAGCACAGACUGGGUGAAGUUGAAAGCACUUCCAGCAAUGUUUACUCUUCUUUUAAUUAUUAGUUGCCUGAGGGAAAAAUAUAUAAUACAAGUGUGAUUUAACAGUAAAUGACGCUGAAGUGAACUCACUGCAUACUGUAUCACACACUCAAGUACUUAUGAGCCACAAAGAAAAAAGGAGGAGGGAGCUAUCCUUCAUUUCAUUCUAGGAAGAACAAGGGGAGAGAUGGUCAGCCAAACUGAAUCCCCCUUUUUUAAAGAUUUAUUUAUUUAUUUUAUGUAUGAUGAAUACACUGUAGCUGUCUUCAGACACACCAGAAGAGGGCAUCAGGUCCCAUUACAGAUGGUUGUGAGCCACCAUGUGGGUGCUGGGAAUUGAACUCAGGACCUCAGAACCGCUGAGACAUCUCUCUAGCCACCACCACCCCCAAUUGAUUUUUUUUUAAAUCUCUACUAACAUAUGUACAUGCCAAGAAGGUGGACACUCUUGUCUCAAGCCAUCCUUUAGCUACUGAAUUCCUUAUAGGAAAAUAAAAAGCUAUGCCUCGACAUUCAGAAAGAGGGAAUGGAGCAGGAAGCUCACACACUGCAUUCCAUGUCUUGCUCUGAGCCUUUAACAGAGGCUCCCAUGUAACAGACUCCCAUGCGUCUUGUGUUUUCUGGAAUGGGAUAUAAAAUUGUAUUGAUGACUAACAGUAAUUCUACGUAUCUCACUUUAUUAUCAAUGAGAGGGUUGCUUUAGAUAACUAUGACACAUGAUCUCCUGGAUGAGAACUAACAUCAAAACACAAAAUACUGCUCUUAAAGAUAAAACUUAGGUAUAGUGGUGCCUACCCGUAAGUCCAGCACAGCUAGCUGGAGAACCAACAAUAAAACAAAUUGGUAAAACUCAGGAGCCUGAAUGGCAAAGCUGACUGAAUGUAGGAAGAGAAGCAAGUAUUAAAAGGCUAAAGACAAAGGUGCUGCUCACUCUGUCUUCAGUGGAUCUGGGAGACUGGGCUGCUGUGGCUCCUGCUCAAUACAAUGAAACGGAAUGAAAGCCUUCAGAAGCCUGUGUGCCAACCUGCAGGGCCAAGUACACUGCUAGGAAGAGCACUAGGAAGGGAUUCUUUGGUGCGGGCUGGAGAAGGGAUGGUGGUUGCAGGAAGGCUGGCGUCACCAUGUGAUAACUGCAGCAACUGCAUUUCUUGCUAUGUGAGACAUGGAUAAGUGACAGACUUAAUUUUCGGUUUUGGGAUCCAUGACUCACCCCAGGACUUUCCCUCAAGCAUGGCCAUAUUUGAGUAUCACAAAGAAAAAGGAAAAGAAAACGAAAAGGAAAGGGGGUUGGGAAUAUAGCCCAGUAGUGGGGUGCUUGUCUAGUGUGCAUGAUGCCGAGUUCUCAGGACUGCAUGAACUGAAUAAUGCAGGUCACGAGGGUCACCCCACCACCUGAUCAGAAGUUCAAGGUCAUCCUUGGCUACAAAGACACAUUUUGAAAGAUUAAAAAAAGAAAGAAAGAAAAAAGAGGGAGUGGAGCAGAGGGGAAGGGAGGAGAGGACAGGGAGCCUGGAGAAGCCUGGGGAGCCUCGAGCAGCAUCGGCAGAGCAGCGACGCCCCUCAGUGGCCCCACAAUCACUGGCUCCUAGUCUUCAAGGAGCUCUUUUCUUUUCAAAUAAAACCCAAGCUUCUGCUCCCACGCCCUUCGCUGCCUUGCAAUAGUCUCUAAAUUACCUAUCUUUUGAGACAGAGUCUGUCACUGUGUAUCCCAGGUUGGCCUAUAACUCUGGAUUCUCCUCUAUGUGCAUUUUUGGCUAGCACAGCUCUGUCCUAACAACUUCAGGUAUUCCAGUCACACUUGCACCAUGCACAACGUGGACAAUCACUAGGGAGUCACUAUGGUUUGUGACAUAGGGAGAAUGCAUGGGCUUAUCUAAGCACCUUGAGCCAGGGUAUAUUCACCACUUCUCUGCAUUCUGCUCCUUUCAUACACAAAGAAUUCUGUCCUCACUCAAGGACCUGCUGGUUAUGCUGAAGGUUCUGAUAGAAGCACUUCCGUUUCUCUAACCCACCCAUGCCCAAAGUUAUCAAUUGAAAAGUACCUGCAACCUAGCUGGGUCUGCUUGUCUGGGGAGACCGAAGAUAAACCCAGCCACACCCUGAACAGAUAGCUACCCCAUUGCUUGAGAGUAGGAAUAUCUUGCCAGGAAGAGUGUCUCAAGACUCUCUACUCACUUUUAGGUUCUAAGAAGUGAAGAGUAGUGUCAGGGUUUUGGCUGAAUUGCUCAAAGCCCAUUAAUAAUGGACAAGCUAGAGUGCCAUGAACGCAGAAGCACGAAACAUUUCAGGUUAAAUAAAAGCAGCAAAAUGAGCCGAGGGCAGGGGCAGGAAAGGUGCCCAUGUAUGUGGGGAAAGAGAAUGAAUGCCAGUUUCAAAGGGAUUCCUUGAAAUGCCCAGCUCCCUUAAGAGUACUGAGCACCAUGUGGCACAGCUACCAAAGGCAUGCCUUUUUUUCUCUCUGGGUUAGGCCCACAUCCCUGGCCACCUGUCAGAGGGUUCAUUGACAUUGCAGAGCUACCACUGGGUAAAACUGAGGUCAGAGGAAACUAUGUUGGCAUCUUUCAAACCUAUUUCCAAUGUUUGAAACAACUUAUUUCAUAAAGGGUGAGGCCUGCUUGUUCAGCAGAACUUGCCUGCUGACCACUUUUUUAGCCACAGCUAAGAACAGCAGCACACAGCAGCUUGCAGCUCCCUCCUCUGCUCAGUGUUCAUGCUGUUGCUACUGCCUCUCUGGUGUGUGUGUGUGUGUGUGUGUGUGUGCGUGUGUACACAUUGUUGCUACUGGCUCCGCAAAUCUCUUCAAGAAGGGAUUUCAAAAGCUCCCACUUCUGACAUUCCUACAGAGCUUUGUAGACAAACUGAAUGAUGGCAAAGCAGCCUGUAAAUGAUGCCUGGGAAAGGCUUAGUUUGGCUAUUUGAAGAGCAUCUGCUUGGGAGGAGGCCACAGCCAUAUGCGAAUUCUUUAGCUGUUUAUACCCCACACUGCCCCCUCAGCAGAGGGAUUUGCUACUCAGCCUUCAGCACAUACCAGAAAGCAAGCUGUGCCACAUACCCGGGAGAGCAGUGACUCCUAUCAGCUGCUCUCACAGCCCAAACCAGGAUUUCCAAAGCCUGUCACAGCAACGCUUCUUGAAUCAGAAGUCAUCCUGACCUGCUUGUCAGGAGCAGUAUCUGUGGGAAAGAGAAGCCACUGGAAGCAGUCUUGAAUCCCAAUUAUAAAGGCUGAAUUAUAUUCUGCACCUAGUGUGGCAGUAGCAGCUCCAAAGCAGCUGCUGUGAAUGGGGCAGAAAAGCCUCAAGAAAGGUGGUGCAGUCUACAUUCACACAAGCCUAGCACUUCACCCAUGACGGAAGCCCUGAGGCAUAGCCGUCCUCUCCAGGUACCUUGUGGGGAACCAUGGGGACCAGAAACACACAGAAUAAAACUAGAAGUAUACAAACAUUUUUGACAACUGCAUUUUCUGUCUUUUGAGUUUUCUUAAAACAGGAAAGUCCUUUAGCUCUAAGACUGAAUGAAGGCUGGAAAGUCAGCAGUAAAGAGCACUAGCUGUUCUUGCUGAAGACCCAGGUUGGAUUUCCAGUAUAGACACAGCAGCUUAUAACCACUGGUAAUGCCAUGCCCUCUUCUAGCUUCCAUGGUCGCCGCACAUACACAGUGCACAGACAUUCAUACAGGCAAAAUAUCCACAUACAUAAAAAUCAAUUCUUAAAAAAAAUUAAAAAGAUCAGAAUGAUCUGGUGACAAAUGUAAUCUUUUUGUUAAAAACAAAGGCUGUGUAUAUACUUUUUCUCUUGACCCUCAGGACUCCCUCUUAUGGAGGGAUGCACACAACCGAUGUCUGUCUAGCCCUCCAAACCAGCUUUAUGCAUGCCAGCAAACAUCCCUCUCAUCCCAUUUGAGAUCCCUAUGCAGAGAACUCACCUAUGGUGGUGCCUGCUUGUGACCUCAGCACUUAGGAGGUCUUCCUAUCAUAGCAAACCAAAAUGACCUGAUAGAUACUAGUAUGCUGUGCUCACCACCCUACUCCUUGUUCUCUCCCUUAGAGUGUACUCAAGGCAGCCACACGGUGGCCACACCUGACCUUCCAACCACUUAGUAAUCACACCUCUAAUACUUACAACCUAUUUACUUGUUUACUUGCGAUCCAGUUACUUUUAUGAUAAACACAGAAGUGAACAGCCUGACACACUGUAUGGUCUGUAAAACCUAAAAUAUUUACUCUCUUGCUUCUUGUAGGAAGUUGGCUGCCUCCUACCUACCAUAUGCCAUAGAAUUAAUAUACCUAGCUGUUCUCUGUUCAUAACUAUCCCAGGAGAAAAUGCACAGUUCCCUCCUCCCUUCACCCACUUUUUCUUGACAAGGUCAUUAUGCAGCCAGGUUGGGCUCAAACUCUCCCUGCCUCUAACUCCUCAGUGCUGGGAUUUCAGGUGUGUAUCACUAACUCUUGAAAAUGGAGGGCCUCAAGCCGGGCAUGGUGGCUCACGCCUUUAAUCCCAGCACUCGGGAGGCAGAGGCAGGCGGAUUUCUAAGUUCGAGGCCAACCUGGUCUACAAAGUGAGUUCCAGGACAGCCAGGGCUAUACAGAGAAAUCCUGUCUCGAAAAACCAAAAAAAAAAAAAAAACAAAACAAAACAAAAAAAAAACCCAAAACCAAAACCAAAACAAAAAAAAAAAACCCAAAACCAAAACCAAAACCAAAAAACAAAAACAACAACAACAAAAAAAAAACCCCAAAAAACAAAAGAGAAAAUGGAGGGCCUUAAGAAUAAAAUUAAACUUGGAAAGAAUUAAGGAUGAAGAAGCCAAGCUUCAAGAGGGAACUUUAGAGAGAGCAACCACCUCUUCAGAAUGUUACUUCUUCUUUGUAGAGGAAGUAAGAAGGGAACUGUGGGUUUUGAUAAGAGGAAAUUCCCCUCUGCUCUGUGGGAGCUAUUCCUUGUGUUUGUGUUUUUCUAAGGUUAGGCAAGACUGCUCGGAGCGUACCGUAACCAAAUUAGGAAACAAGCUGGCUGAUAUCUCUUAAGUGGUCAACACAUGGUCAGGAUGUGCAGGCAUGCAGGCAGUGAUGGAUGGGGAGGGAGUAUCAGUACCAGAAGGAAAUAGUAUUUGCUUGAGAAAUCAAGCUUUAAAAUUAGACUUAAUCAGAAUUAAUACUUUUUCUUGCUGUGGGUGAAAAAAAAAAAAAAAAAGGUGGGGGUGUCCCAAAAGGCUAGGUGUGGUAGCAGAGACUUACAAUCUCAUUACUCAAGUGGAGGAGCAGCACAGAGCACACAAGCUUGAGGCCAGCCUGGGGUAUAUAGCGAGAUGGGGAGGGAGUGGAGACAAGACAGGGAGCAAACAAUGCUUCCAAAAGUUUCUAGAAGCAAACCACAUGGGACCAAUGAAAUGUGCCACCCAUCCUCUUGUGCAUCCCCAGGGCAGCACAGGUCUUGGCAUAAGCCAGAAGUUAUCUAUCAAAUUAAUCAGCAAUUUAACAGCUCAAAAGUGUCAAGAGCUGGCUUAUGCAAAGCCUCAGGUUUGGGCUAGUGAGAAAAAGGAAUUGAGAAAAGUCUUAAAGAGAAAACAAAUGACCAAGCUCUGUGAACCUUCCAUUUUCAGGUACCCAUCCAUCUGCUCCACUUGCCAGAACAUCGUGAGCUUCAAGGUAGUCUUACUGCUUUGAGAACAGGGUCUAGGUAUGUGAUACUUUACUCCACAAAGCUUGCCUCUUCAAUGACUCUCUCGUUCAGGAAUGACUUGUGAUUCAUUUCUGAAUGGGAGCCAGUUGAAUACAGACCCAGCCAGAACUAUUUGGGUAAUAACGUGCAACUUUGGAGAGCCUUGCUUUCCUCCCAAAUUUCUGGAUCAGCAAGAUUCUUGGCUGACCUUUAUUCACUUAAGAAUGUGUUCUACUCAGUUCCAGCUUCCGCUAUGAAACCAGUCAGAAUGGAGAUUUAAAAGACAAAGCCAACUGCAGUUCUUUAUAAGAAACCCCUGUGCUGGCUGAGGCAGCCUUUUUUUUUUUUUAACACAGUCUUAUGAAAGCUACAUUUUUUUUAAAGAUUUAUUUAUUAUUUACUAUAUGUAAGUACACUGUAGCUGUCUUUAGACACUCCAGAAAGGGGAGUCAGAUCUCGUUACAGAUGGUUGUGAGCCACCAUGUGGUUGCUGGGAUUUGAACUCCGGACCUUCGGAAGAGCAAUCGGGUGCUCUUACCUGCUGAGGCAUCUCACCAGCCCUUUUUGACACUUUCUUAGCUUACCUUAAGUCUUCUGGCUGGGGAGCAUAGAGCAGAAACUUCACAACAACUAUUUCAAAAGUACUCUAUUAAAGGUACUGGAUUCCUCUGGAGCUACAGCUGGAGAUGUUUGUGAGCUGCCUGACUUGGGUGUUGGGAACGGAACUUAGGUUCUCUGCAAGAGCACCAUGUGCUCUAAGUUGCACUAAGCCAACUUUCCAUCCCCAUUCAAAGUAUUAUAAUAGUAUCAAAAAAGCUAAGUGCUUGCAUUCUCUUUUGAUUUUUCUUUUCUUUUUGAGCCAGGGCUUCAUGUAGCCAAGGUUCCUAAAACUCCUUGAUAGUCUUUGCCUUGACCUAAAGUGCUAAGACUGCAGAAGUGCCAUACCAAAUCUGGCAUGAGCAUUUACUUUUUAGAACUACUUGUAUAUUGAUUCUAACAACUAUUUAUUAUCACUGACAAGAUCCUAGGGUUUUAAUGGAUAACACUUUACACAGAUUUUACACUUUCCAAAGACUUGAAGUGAUGAACAGAAACCCACCAAUUAAGUCCUUCAUUUAUACUGGCUAAGAGCACUGAGGGUAUCUGGCAUAUAGGAUCUCCCAGGUCUCUUUUAAAAACUGGGUAUCUACAAUUACAAGCCAUGAGAACCAAAUGUCAACAAUACACAGCUGGGCAGAGUUCAAGUCUUAUUGCAGGCAGAGAAUAAGCAGAUGAGUCCUCCUCCUGCCUCUACUGUCAUGCUGGCGUCUGAACUAAGCAAGACCAGGACUGACCACAGUAGCACUCCUUGUCUGUCUCUGCUUUCUCCUCAUGGUGCAGCAGGCAGGGUUACUACAGAAAAAUCUCAUUGCCCUUUUAUGGUAGAAAAAUGAAUUACUGGCCCAGCAUUGGGGCCCAGAGAUGACAGAAGGAGAGCUGUCAUUUGUUGUGGUUUUGGCAGCCAUAGAAUAGUGUUCUUCCUUCAGGCUAGAUGGUACAUACCAGGCAUCUGCUAAGAGAAAACAGGCCUGGCCAACUGCUGGAGGCACCCUCCUUUACUUUGCCUGUGAAUGGACAUGCCACUUAGGAGGAGUGAGCCUUGAUUUUGUAGAAACAUUCUUUUCAUAAAAUAAGGUAUGGAAAAGUCUUGCAUUAUGUGAAAGUUCUGAGCAGAGAUGCCCAGAGGACUCAGUUCCAAUCACUGGAUCCAUGUACCUUGAGCACAAGCUAUUGAGACUGGGGUCUGGCAGGGAGGUAAUCUCACAUGACAGAAGGCCAAGAAAGCAGCCGCCCACUGCAGAUAAAAGUCCACCCCAUGAAAGCACAGUAAGGUCCCAGGCCCUUCUGCUGAUAAAGCAGUAGUUUGCAACACAAGGCAAACUGUUUGCAUUUCUGUCAAGAGGCCUGAAGAAAAAAAGCAGGCUUCCCAGCUGCAGACACACAUUGCAAAAGAAGAAUUAGGCAAUUCUCUGUAGGCACAUCAAGAGUUAGGGAAAUUAAGCUUAUCUGAGUGAGAGAAAUUAAGCUUAUACAACAUGCUUUCGGGUGGAAAACAAGCCCUUUAAAAUGGGGGGUAGGGAGCACACAACUGUGAUGCUUGCACAGUUUCUUUUACAUUUAAUGUUCCCAAGGAUGGGGAGUGGGGGGUGGAGGGAAGCUGGUCUGUCAAACUGUAGGGACACACCAACUGCCCAGAAAUCUGCUUCAGAGACAACCACAAGGAGGAGGAAUGAUAUUCCUGGGCACCAAUGUAGAGUCUGUAUCCCAGAUGGACCUGGAGUGGCCUGUGUGGCCCCAAGCCACUCUCCUUGGCACCUCCAGUUUACAAAAUCCAAAAGACUGGUGCCUCUUUAGCCACUCCCAUCUCACUUCUGGGAACUGGGAAAUACCCAUGCAAAUACUCAGAGCUUUGUUAACAGGCUUGUUAACAAAGGCUAAGAAGAUUUAUCUAGGACUAAAAGACUAUGUGUCCUCAGGCUCUGACAAGGCUUCAGGAAGAUCUCUAUCUGCUACUUCCUCUCAGAAUUAAAGGUUCCCUCUAAAGCACCAUGAACCCACUAUGAAACCUGUUAUAGUUUCCUGGCAUCUAUAGAACUGACUUCACACUGUCACAGUCCAUGAUCUGGAGUCUGUUUUUCUGCCUAAUUGUAGUUCCUUCCACUGUGGUCAUACUUGUCUAUUGGCUGACCCUGAAAACAGCUCAGCUCACAUAAUCCUCUGGCCCCACAGUAACAUUCUGUCUCCACCCAUUAUAUCUUACUGCAGCAUAGUCAGGCUAAGACAUAGCUCACACUUAGUGUUUUUCUCAGUGUGACAAACCCUAGUGAUCUUUUCUUCUUGGGAGUCCCACUAUCUCUCACUGCUGUCUAGAUGAGCUGGCCUGUAGCACUGCUCCCAGCACAGCUGUUGAAUUACCUAACUGUUCUUGUAACUGUAGUGUUCCAUUGCCUCUGUGCAGAAGAGAGGCAAAGGGAAAGGGGAACAGCUCUGCCAGUCUAGUAAGAAGCAGCAAGGCUGCCCUGGAAGAGAGCACACGCCCCUGGGUAAAGGGGAGGCUUUCAUAGGGUGAGGAGAAAGAGUCAAGUUUCUGAAAGGACAGUGGUGUUUUUAGUUUGACAGGAAAGGAGAGGAAGGCAAAAGGAAAGACAAGACAAGAAAAGAAAGAAACUAGUAUUUUACUUGCUGUGGCUUAGAAUCUGGAUCAGCUUCUCAGGCACAGGGAGCAUUUGAAGCCAAAAUGCUUUUCAUAUGAACCUCUGGUGGGAAUAAAUCUGGGGGUUGGGAGUGGGGAAGUACUUUCAUGAGGCUACUGGAAUUUAAUCUGACAGACUUCGUCUGUUUCUUUUUGAAAAGCAAAUGCCAAUCUCAGCUUUCUAAGAAGCAUUGACUUUGGACUGGAAGUCCAAAUAAUUUUGGAUGCUCUAAAAUUAUCUGGUCUCUCUUCAGGCCUUCAGGUAGAGUAGCCUGCAUGCAAGAUGCCCUGGAGAUGGAAUAGUCAGUGUAGUCACACCAGAGCCUGCAGGAAUAAGGAAGGCAGGAGGAGGAGGAGGCCACACCUGCUGCAUAGUCUUUCCAAGCAGCCGCUCUGCUGUCCAGCAUCAAUUCCAUGUGUGUUGCUCUGAUAGGUUCCACCUGCUCCACCUCUCAGGUACUAAUCAAAGAACACAGACUCUCAUGUAGAAUCUUGACACAGAACCCUCUUCCAGGGUGAUGAGCCAUUUGUCCUUGCACAGACAGUUGCUGCCAUUCCUGUGACCAAGCUCAUCUCAGAAAAGUACAGAUUUAAACCCUAGGAUAAGCCAAUUAGUAAGGGAGUUUCAUUCCCUGUGAGGGAUGCAUACAUACUCAAGACUAGCAAAGCAAAGCAAAACAGGCAAAAGCACAGACAUAGCAAAAUGGAAGAUGUGCAAUUGUUUAGUUGUUUUAUUUAGUUCUUAUAGUGCUAGAACUUGAACCCAGGUCCUUAGACAUGGCUAGGUCUACCACAAAGCUACACUUCCAACACUUAGUGAUGAUUGGUAAGGAAAAGGCAAAGGUAGAUAAUAUAAAGAAUCCCAUGGACCCAGCCACUAACGAUCGACUCAGAGUCAAUUUUAGCUUAUCUAGUCCCUUCAUCUUCUUCCACCCCACCCACCCUCCCGUACAGCCAUGAACAAAUUCCAGACUACUUGGUUCAUUUAUAAAGAUUUCAGUGACUAUCUCCAAAAGAUAAAGACUCUGAAAACAAACACAAUAAAACUUUCCCAAGCAUACAUAAAGAGCAGCUGGAAGCUCUAGGUUUGACUCCUAUUGAUAUCACCUGCUACUGUGUGGCUGGAAAGCAAGCAUACCCAUUCAUACCCACUAGUGGAGAGCUCCAUCAGAUGUGUAUCUGGACUUUAGCCUGAGGAUGGUGUCAAGCUCCCAAGCCAGGGAGUCAUGACUACACAUACUGAGUUAACAGAGGUGCUGACCACUAACUGUACUGUGUCUCUCUCUCCUUCCUUCCUUCCCUCCCUCUCUCCCUCUUCCCCUCCCCUCUGCCCCUCCCUCCCUCCCUCUCUCUCUGGACCCUGACCUCAGCCGAUGAGAUUCUGUUUCUCUCAACUACUACUCUGAGUUACCAAGGUUACUGACACAUCACAGGGUUCAUUACCAUGCAGUGAAGACACAGAGCACACAGUGCAGUGCAGUUUCAAAGAAACCGGCAUCUUCUCCUAUUGUGGGCAGUGAGGGUUUCCAGGCCAGGAUAGCUGACCCUGCUCAGAAUGGGGUAGAGGCCAUAGAGAGACUUUUAACUGUGACCUAUGGAAAGGUCACAGGGCAUGUAGGGGCUAGUAAGUAGCAGUUGUUCCUAUUCUGUUUUCUGUCUCUUACUAGGGAAGAUUAAGGGGUCAGAGGCCAUUUCCAUUUCAUGGCUGCCACACUGCAACUGGGAAAGAACCCCUGAAUUCAAAGUAAAUGCAAAACCCAGGAAGAACAUCUAUGGUUUCUGCAUUGCUCCCAUUUUGCUCAGUAAAUGCUCUCCCAUCUUUUUGCUACCACUUCCCUCCCAUGUCCUCUGCCUUGAUACACACAGCCCCUCCAGGAUUGGAAAGCUUUCUGCCUCUGGUAUUGCCAUAGCAACAAUAUCUCUUUUACCUGGCAAAGCAGGAAACCCUGCAGUGCUCUGUGCUGAGAAUGCAAAGGAGGGACCUGAUAGCUCACGUUCUCUUUGGCAUCCUCUCUGCACAUGCGUACUCUGUCUUACAGAGCCCUUGCUCAAGGACAUCGCAAUGAGAUCACUAAAACAAAUUAAAGUGCUGGCACCUGGUAAUUCACAAUUAGUGUGAAGAUAAGAUAGGUUAAAUCAUUGUUUGCUGAUAUCAAUUCUUGAGAUAUUUUUUAAAGAGACAAUUAAAACACAUUUUCCUUUCAGUGAAGCCACAAGCACAGAAAAACUCCAUUAAAUAACUUUAGCAAACAUAAAAAGUGGCUAAGCAAAUUGGUGUGCGGUUUCUAGAAAGAUCCCCCUGGAAGUUUAUGUUCCUGGUAGAAUAUGCAAAUAGGGCUGUGAUGAGUCUGAAAAGCAAAGCUAAAACAGUGACCACAAAGCCACUAGAAGAGGGGCAGUUUCUAUUUUUUAAAAAAUUUAUUUAUUAAUAUACAUAAGUACACUGUGGCUGUCUUCAGACACACCAGAAGAGGGCAUCAGAUCUUAUUAAGGGUGGUUGUGAGCCAGCAUGUGGUUGCUGGGAUUUGAACUCAGGACCUUGGGAAGAACAGUCAGUGCUCUUACCUGCUGAGCCACCUCACCAGCCCUGCAAUUUCUAUUUUAACAGAGCAAAGGCCCGAUAAAAAUCCAGUCGUUUUCUGUAAGUGCACAUAGUGAGAACAGGAGGUGGUAGGUACGUCCUGCUGCAUGGACUGCAGAGGAAGAGAGAACAGCAGCCUGAGUGGAGGACCCCUGCUCUGGGACAGGAGAAGCAGCCUGGACUUCAAGGUCAGGACUGAAAGGUCAGGGCCUCUCACUAAACUUUAAAAAAAAAAAAAAAAAAAAAACUAACAAGCCACACAGACAUUUUAUCUUUUUUUUUGUAACUAAUUCUGAGAUCUCCAGCCAAGUGUGCUGUGAACUUACCUUUUAGGUCCUUCCUAUACCUCUCUGAACACCAGUCCCUGAAAUUCUAAUCCUUCUGGAUACCAAUGAAAGCAAUGAGCAAUGCAAGAAGAAGAGAGGGCACAGCAGAGCUGUGGACAGGACAAAGACUACAAGUGACAGCAGCAGCCCACAGGCAGCCUUCCUCAGGAUAAAGCUGUCCCUGGGCAUAUGGGGCCUUCUUGGAGCCAGGACACUUUCCUCCAAGAGCAGAAAAAGAACCUAGAGCAUGAGUGCCUUUAUCUAUAGGUAAAGGUUAAAUUUUGAAACAGAUGGUCCUGGAAGCUAUAAUAUCCUGUGCUACAUCUCUUCACUGUGGAUACUGUAAAUAAGAUGAAUGAGCAAAUGGAAGCUCUGAGAACCACCCAACAUUUGCACAGUAACCAUCUCCCUACUGCAUCAAACUCCAGACUCCACGAUCCUUCUCCAGCCUCAGUCUCUUUAGAAUGGGUGACUUAGUCACUUCGCAAGUGUGCACUGAGAACUGUACUGGAAGGCACCAGGCAAACACACAGUUGGCACUUGUUUUUUUUCCUGCUGAAACCCUCCAUAUUCCCAUUAAAUCAUUGAUGCAGUGGAUGGAAGCAGUGGAUGGAAGCAAAGGACUCUCCUGCACCUUGCCUUAUUCACAUUCCGUUUCCAACUACAUGGCCUGACCCGGCCUCACUCUAAGCCCGCUCCUCUUCUCUAGAUGUCCAGCCAGCUCUGACCCUUGGGGUCUGAAGCUGCUGCUGAGACAAACCUGAAGCUUAGUAGCAACAGAGCCAUUUCUCCAUCAUGGCGUGUGUCCAUCUUAGCAGGAGAACACAAAGUGAACUAAAUGCCCUGUCCUUUGCAAAAGCUGAGAACACAUGAUGUGCAGUGCAUUAUGAACUGCUAGCUAUAAGCAGUUAUAAAGUUGUAUAAACAGAUAAAGAACUUUUCAUCUGGCCUGAUUCAAAGUGCUCACUGCCUAGUAACUCCUAUUUUCCCUAGGCCUAGACCUGGCAAUUGCUGUUCAGUUCUUGCUACUUGCAUCUGGUUACUUAAGAAAUUGCACAUGAGGUCUCUGGCCGCCACGUCCCUGCAUCUGCAAUGGAUGGUCAUUCGGAACUGCUCCAGUUUCUUGAUUAAGAGGUAUAAGCAGACGUACAGCACAGAGCCAAAUAAACUGAAACUCCUUCCCCUACAACGGGCUAAUUCACUGCAAGACUGUCGGAGUGGAGCCAGCGGCUGAUGGCAAAGGGGUCCUGGUAGUUAUGAAAUGCAGAUUCAGUCAGGGAAAACCUGCCACUUCUUACACGUUGUGAAUCCAUUAGUACUUUUGAAGAGUUUUUACGUUUUUUGCCUUUCAAAUUCUAUAUUAAUUGACUUAUGUAUAACUACCUUAUUACAGAAUUCUAUAUGUCCAUACAGAUUUUCCCUAACUUACAGGUGUGUAUGUGCUGUAUUUGAGUACAGGACAGGGAAAAGAGCAAGCAAAAUAUACGACACAGCAGAAGAAGACACAUUUUCACAGCACCUGUCUUUAUAAAAUGACAUAGACGAGAAAUCCUGAACUUUGCAAUUGGAUUUCCACAAGUAAUUUCAUCUCUGUAACUAUGCCAACUGCCAUCACCAACCUUCUCUUGCUUCAUGAAUGGAAGAGGCAAACUAUUCUCAUGCAUCAGCCUACACAGGCCACCUGCAUAGUGCAAGCCAAACUCAAGCAAGGUGCUAGAAACACAAACCACUGUCCUCCGUACCUUUCG